GACGAACGCUGGCGGCGUGCCUAAUACAUGCAAGUAGAACGCUGAAGAGAGGAGCUUACUCUUCUUGGAUGAGUUGCGAACGGGUGAGUAACGCGUAGGUAACCCGCCUUGUAGCGGGGGAUAACUAUUGGAAACGAUAGCUAAUACCGCAUAACAAUGGAUGACACAUGUCAUUUAUUUGAAAGGGGCAAUUGCUCCACUACAAGAUGGACCUGCGUUGUAUUAGCUAGUAGGUGAGGUAAUGGCUCACCUAGGCGACGAUACAUAGCCGACCUGAGAGGGGGAUCGGCCACACUGGGACUGAGACAAGGCCCAGACUCCUACGGGAGGCAGCAGUAGGGAAUCUUCGGCAAUGGGGGCAACCCUGACCGAGCAACGCCGCGUGAGUGAAGAAGGUUUUCGGAUCGUAAAGCUCUGUUGUAAGUCAAGAACGGGUGUGAGAGUGGAAAGUUCACACUGUGACGGUAGCUGACCAGAAAGGGACGGCUAACUACGUG
RNAcentral lists this ribosomal RNA (497 nucleotides) under uncultured bacterium. Its description in RNAcentral is "partial 16S ribosomal RNA". It matches the Rfam family "Bacterial small subunit ribosomal RNA", at positions 28 to 507 of the family's 1533-position model. The record is from RNAcentral.